AGAGGAGCUUGGAUAUUUUCGAGGUUGCUGAUGGGUUAACUGUUCUUGGAUGCUGUUGGUGCUGCAAAUGGAAGUCAUCUGCUGUAGAAGCUCGGACGAGAACUGCCUGUUGGAGAAGUCCGACAGGAGUCCGACUGCUGGAGAAGUUCGUCUGGAAUUUGUAUGACGUAGAAGCUUGUCUGAAGAAUUGUCUGCUGGAGAGGUCCGAUUGCACAAGGAA
Molecule: long non-coding RNA, 220 nt
Filed under: Elaeis guineensis (African oil palm)
Lineage: Eukaryota; Viridiplantae; Streptophyta; Magnoliopsida; Arecales; Arecaceae
Description: long non-coding RNA (EGUI_LNC072718)
Source: RNAcentral